GAGUAACACGUGGACAACCUGCCUCAAGGCUGGGGAUAACAUUUGGAAACAGAUGCUAAUACCGAAUAAAACUUAGUGUCGCAUGACAAAAAGUUAAAAGGCGCUUCGGCGUCACCUAGAGAUGGAUCCGCGGUGCAUUAGUUAGUUGGUGGGGUAAAGGCCUACCAAGACAAUGAUGCAUAGCCGAGUUGAGAGACUGAUCGGCCACAUUGGGACUGAGACACGGCCCAAACUCCUACGGGAGGCUGCAGUAGGGAAUCUUCCACAAUGGGCGAAAGCCUGAUGGAGCAACGCCGCGUGUGUGAUGAAGGCUUUCGGGUCGUAAAGCACUGUUGUAUGGGAAGAACAGCUAGAAUAGGAAAUGAUUUUAGUUUGACGGUACCAUACCAGAAAGGGACGGCUAAAUACGUGCCAGCAGCCGCGGUAAUACGUAUGUCCCGAGCGUUAUCCGGAUUUAUUGGGCGUAAAGCGAGCGCAGACGGUUUAUUAAGUCUGAUGUGAAAGCCCGGAGCUCAACUCCGGAAUGGCAUUGGAAACUGGUUAACUUGAGUGCAGUAGAGGUAAGUGGAACUCCAUGUGUAGCGGUGGAAUGCGUAGAUAUAUGGAAGAACACCAGUGGCGAAGGCGGCUUACUGGACUGCAACUGACGUUGAGGCUCGAAAGUGUGGGUAGCAAACAGGAUUAGAUACCCUGGUAGUCCACACCGUAAACGAUGAACACUAGGUGUUAGGAGGUUUCCGCCUCUUAGUGCCGAAGCUAACGCAUUAAGUGUU
Molecule: ribosomal RNA, 773 nt
Filed under: Leuconostoc mesenteroides
Lineage: Bacteria; Bacillati; Bacillota; Bacilli; Lactobacillales; Lactobacillaceae
Description: bacterial SSU rRNA
Rfam family: Bacterial small subunit ribosomal RNA
Source: RNAcentral